Cygnus olor (mute swan) is the source of this 3884-nucleotide long non-coding RNA. RefSeq lists it as uncharacterized. The transcript has 3 exons. Lineage: Eukaryota; Metazoa; Chordata; Aves; Anseriformes; Anatidae. The record is from RefSeq and is a predicted model, not a curated record.
AUUGUAGAGUGGUGACUGAAGAAGCCUGUGGUUUCUGGAUACCCAGAGGUUUUUGAGAUCUUUGUGCCUGCUUCAUGAAAGGUAGCUAAGGAAAGGCAGUGUCUUGUCAGUAGGGUUAAUUUGACAUCAGGAGCAAGGCACCUACACGGUUCAACAUGUUUGGACUUAGUCAUGGAUGCAUAUGAUGGAUACACCUUUGCAUUUGAUUAUGUAUCUUGUGUGCACUUUCAUGCAUGAGAAUUACUCUCUUUCUUGUAGUAAUACUUGGUGCAGAAUAAUUUUCAUGUUAAUAAGGCUAAUGUGAUUAUGUACAUGUUAUAGUGGAAAUUUUGGCCAAUGAGAAGCCUAGGCUUUUACGGACAAUGGAAGAAUAAAAGGUACGCUGGGGAGGAUGGGAGGUAUGUACAAAGGCAGGAAUGGAUGGAAUAAGAGGGGUUCUGAACCCUCAAGGUUUGUGCACAUGGGACAGGGUCUUUGGGCUGCCCAUUAUUUACAUAGGCCACAAGUGCUUUGCAAAUGUGUAUGUGCAUGUGUGUUUGCCUUUGGGAAGACAACAAAGCAGCUGUCUACAGACAGUCCCAUGCCUGAGUGCAUAAUGACCCUUUCAGGCCCCUACUCUGUGCCUGGCAGUGGCUAGUUCCACUUGCAGGAGAGGAAAAGCUGUGAACUCAACUGUAGAGAAUCACAGGCCACCUUUCUCACAAUGGCAUGAUCUUCCUCCCACCCAGAACCCAGGGAAGGCUAACCACAGAAAGUCAGUGACUUGUGAGAUAAUACAAUUAGAGCUGGCUUUUCACCUUUGCUGAUGUAACUGUUGUGAUGGGGGUUUGACUGCUUGUUUAAGAAAAGUUUCUGUGUGACAGUAUUGCUCAGUGCUGUCAGUAUUACAGUAGGUUGACUAUUGGGUACCAAGAGUUCCACUGAAGGUGGCUGGCUGAGAGUAAGCAGUGAGUAAAAGCACUGAAGAGUUUCAUAAUGUUUUCCGUAUGUCUUUUGGAAAUGGAGAACCCAGAAGGGCUCACAGUUUCAGUGUUCAGGACCAAUUCUCAUCAGCUCUCAUCACAAAUAGUGUAGCUCUCUCGGGAUGAAGAAUGUGACUGUUAGCUACAAAACAAUCUUUGUGAAAAAUUAUGUACCGUUUAUUCAGUACUUUAGAAGGACUAUUAACUGUUGAGGAGUUGUUGAAUUCACAUUAGUGUUGUAGUACAGAGUUCCGAGUAACAGCAUCUGUUUGAUUUUCUACUUUGCACUGCUAACAUGCUCAGCAUGUUUCUCAUUAAUGGUUUUUGUUUUCUUUUUCUAGCUGUACUUACAUUCUUAUUUGCCCACCAUGCAUGACAAGUUUAUAAACCACCCACAGGGUGGUGAAGGAAUUGACUCAUUUUUUUCCUCUCUCUUCGUAGGGCUUUUUGUGAGCUUUUGGGCCUUGUUAGGUAAUGUGUUUUUACCUUUGUGAGGAAAUUGUCUUUGGUAACUUUUGCCACAUACAGGUGAGCUGUGUCAGCUGAUAAAAUUAUCAUAGAGAGGAAAAUAUGCCACAGGUCCAUAGUUUCUAGCCUGACUGCUGCAAGGAGUUCUGAACAAUGGAAAAAAUCACUGAGGGAAAAUUGAUGGCGGCAGGAAGAGGGGCGUUGAACUUCCCAUGAUGUUUUAUAGCGCCAGCAAUGCCAGGAUGUGAAGAGUGAGCCUCGGGGUUGUGUCUGCAUGGGGGUCAGCAAAGCAGCUCUGGCAGAGACAAAAUAACAACUCUCAUCUGAGACAAUACAGACCUUGUUCCUUGCAGGAGUUCGUGCAGUGAAGUUCGUGCAGUGAAUGAAGUGUGUAUCAACUGUAAAGAGCCUAGUGGAAGGACGUGCUCAUGUCGUGCUUCCUUUUUCUGCGUGUUGCUAAUGCUGUGAUGCUUCCCAGCACUGCAAUGGGCACAGCACCAGUUCCUGCCUGCACAGCUGAUUUCCUAAGGCUCAGCUUGCUGAAGAGCGCCCCGGUGCAAGAGUCUGAGUUUAAGAAGUCGCCUGGUUAUUUAUCAAAUUCAAAUCCAAUGGACUGAGUGAGUAUACUGUGUACACAGUCACUUAGCUCAUUGCUCAUGCAUAGAUUUAAAAAGUGAAGGCCAUACUGUGUAUUAUGCCUAAAUUACUUUCUCAUUGCUAAAGAUGAAGCUGAUUUUUUACUAAAAUGAAGCUGAUCGUGCUACAGUUUUACACCAUGCUCUCCUUUAUGGUCAGGGUCCUGUCUACCACUCUGCUUACAAAACAUUGUAGAAGAAUAUAACCUAUUAUUUCACAAGGAGGAUUGGUGCAUCUGUCUAACUUAAUUAGAUACAUCCUGUACCCAUUUACUCAGCUGAGAUUUUCUGUUCACAACUCUGGAUGUGGUUAUUUUGAAGAGUAGCAAAAGAAGCCCUGAUUAUGCCCUUCUGGCCUGGAAUGCUUUUCUUUGAGGAUAAGGGACAGCAUGACAUUUAAGACCUCAGGAAACUUAAAUGCUGUGUGUGCUCUGCUCACGCUGCUUAAUACUUUCUUACUCAGAGACAAACUGAGUUGCUGUCACUGCAAAUGCCAUGCCACCUCACGUUUGGGGAGUUGUUUACUUCUUGCAGCUAUUCACAGCCUGAAAUACAAGCCUACAUUUAUCCCUUCUAUACUGUUUGAAAAUGUACUUUUAAAUGCAUCAUAUGUGUGAAUAUUCUUAUUUUUCCAGACAGGACUGAGCGUUGUUGAAAAUUUAGCCUCGUCAGAUUAAAAGUUUGAAUGAAUAGUCACCAAAAAAAAAAAAUCACUUAGUCAAACUUUGGUGCUUUCAUGCACCACUUCACAGUCUUUGUUUUCUAUGUGGGAUUCUCAUCUAUUUGUAAUGCAGAAUUUUAACUUCUAAAUUCAGUCCAACAAAUCACAAAGGCUAUUAAAUGAAUAUUUAUUCUUUACUUUCAAUCAUGAUAGCUUAAUCUCCAAGCUUCUAUGAGUGAUUUCUUAAUUUCUCUUUGAGAAAACCAAAUUACACAGACAGUUUGAAAAGGAGACCGUAAUUCUGUUUUGAGAAGAUAGUGUUGACAGAUCAGCCUGCAUGUGCAACCUAAGUAUUGCAAUAUCCACAUAGGCUACGAAAAUGACUAGCCAAAUAUUAUUAGAUGAAGCAGUAUUUAUUCACUGAAAGAGGUUUUCUGACUUGCAAAUAAAUCACCAAAUAUCAGAGUUUUGCUUCAAGUCUUUCCACAGUCUUCUGAUGAUUGUUUGGAUUAUUUUGAAAGUAUAAAUAGCUGGCUUCUUUUCCUAACUGAUGUUUUAAAUUUUUGCAGAAUGAGAAGUGGGAAAAUGGGGAAAAACAUGAUUGUCGUUUGCAAAUACUAAUAAGAUCAGCAGAUUAGUAGCACAACCAUGGGCCAAGAUGAUUUGAGAAUAUAUUUUCCACUUUGUAACAACUUCUGAAUUUUUGUAAUCUGCUUUUGAAUUGUAUUGGAAUUGACAUGGUCUACCUUCUCAGAAAUCAGCCAGGCAAAACACUUAGAAAAACAGCAAGUCCUUCCCUAGAGAGCAUCAUUCAAAUCAUCAAUUUGUAACGAAAUACCUGAAUUUUAACAAAACAUGCAUAAUGAAUUAGGCAAAAUAAUUGCCCAGUUCUAGGAACAAAGAGUCUGUCAAAGAAUAUAUCUGUGGAGUUGGAAUUUAUGUAGAGAAUUAAUCUCAGUACAAGCAAAUGGUCUUUUUCAUUUUUCCCCAUUAAUCUGCCAGUAUCUUGCAGACAAAGAAACUUUUCCAAGUAUGACUCUGCUUUUUAACCUGAGAUGUUUCCUUUUCAUAUUGACUCACAAAAUCCACUACUGUAAGUAAAUGUAAGACAUUAACUUCCUGCUUAUACAUGAUGAGCAUGUUAAAAUCUUGAUUUAG